Pelobates cultripes (western spadefoot toad) is the source of this 283-nucleotide non-coding RNA. NCBI's taxonomy places the organism in Eukaryota, Metazoa, Chordata, Amphibia, Anura, Pelobatidae. The record is from the annotation of a GenBank genome assembly.
AAGAGAUCUGUGAAUCCAGAACAGAUUUAAUAGUUUUGCUAUCUCUGCUUAGACCAGUAGAAGCAGAGUGCAGCAUCAUUUGAUAGUUAAAUUACACAACAAUCUCUACUGCAGAGCUUCAAGAAGAAAAGACAGUAGAAAUACCUUCCUGGUUAAAUAAGCUACGUCCUCUGAACAAGGUGGUUUAAAUAAGGGCAUGUUAGGUGUUCUUGACAGCAAUUACCAUACCAUUCAUUAGAGUCAUAAGAAAUUUAGCUGGGAGUGAAAGGAACCAGAAGAAUAG